GUCGGGCCCUGGAGAAGAUUGACCUGAAGUUCAUUGACACCACCUCCAAAUUUGGCCAUGGUCGCUUCCAGACCAUGGAGGAGAAGAAAGCAUUUAUGGGACCACUCAAGAAAGAUCGCAUUGCCAAGGAGGAAGGAGCUUGAUUCCAGGACCACUUUGUGCAGAUGGUGGGGUCUCACCAAUAAAAUAUUUCUACUAACA
This 201-nucleotide long non-coding RNA is filed under the name Mus musculus (house mouse). Its description in RNAcentral is "long non-coding RNA chrX:74171723-74171924". Lineage: Eukaryota; Metazoa; Chordata; Mammalia; Rodentia; Muridae. The record is from RNAcentral.